This is a long non-coding RNA of Macadamia integrifolia, 741 nucleotides long. RefSeq lists it as uncharacterized. The transcript is spliced from 3 exons. Lineage: Eukaryota; Viridiplantae; Streptophyta; Magnoliopsida; Proteales; Proteaceae. The record is from RefSeq and is a predicted model, not a curated record.
AAUGAAAAAAACGUUUUUUCAAAUGACUACCAAACGCAGCCGAAAGAAUAUUGUUCCGGAAAAAGCCGAUGCCUUUCGUCGUCUCUGACGAAGUCUCGGUGAAGAACCCCCUUUCGUCGUCCCUAUUGAACUCUCACUGAAAUCCUUCUCUCCUGGUCGAGCCCUGCUUUCUUUCGUAUCAAUUGAUGCCUCUCUAGCUUCGUUCUCGCUGGCGUGAAGAAACUCUUUUCGUCUCAGCUACGUACUGCACUCUCGUUGAUACCCUUCUCUCCCGCUCGCUGAAGCCCCCGCUCUCUAUUGUUUCAGUUCGUCUCAGGUUUGUGAAAUUAUGAUCGAUCCCAUUCAUGUUUAAUCCAUUUGGAUCGAGAUUUGGGCGAAAGAAUCUCUUACCUGUCGGCGACUCAAACCCCAAACCCUGGUUCCUAGUAGGGAACAAAAAAGAUCCCGUUCUUAGCUGUUCUUACCUCUCUUCUUCUGAAAUUAUCUUGCUAUACAUCUAUUUAACCAAACCCCUAAAUCCCAUUUUCCAGAAUCGAAAGUUUCCUUGGUUCUUACCUAAACCCUAGAAAGCACAGAGGAUUUCUUGGUUCGAGAAUUGAAAGUGUGAGGUGUGGUUCCAGAUUUAGAAGUUGCAAAAUCUCUCAAGCUGGAGUGGCAUCUGAAUCAACGAGUGUUGCCUUUGUUAUCCUCAAUUUUUAUUGAAGAUUGUCCCCACCCAGUUAUCGUUUCUACCCAGUUCUG